Molecule: ribosomal RNA, 253 nt
Filed under: uncultured bacterium
Lineage: Bacteria
Description: partial 16S ribosomal RNA
Rfam family: Bacterial small subunit ribosomal RNA
Source: RNAcentral
UACAGAGGGUGCAAGCGUUGUUCGGAAUUAUUGGGCGUAAAGCGCGCGCAGGCGGUCCUUUAAGUCUGAUGUGAAAGCCCACGGCUCAACCGUGGAGGGUCAUUGGAAACUGGGGGACUUGAGUACAGAAGAGGAAAGCGGAAUUCCACGUGUAGCGGUGAAAUGCGUAGAGAUGUGGAGGAACACCAGUGGCGAAGGCGGCUGUCUGGUCUGUAACUGACGCUGAGGCGCGAAAGCGUGGGGAGCAAACAGG